RNAcentral lists this ribosomal RNA (253 nucleotides) under uncultured bacterium. RNAcentral describes it as "partial 16S ribosomal RNA". It matches the Rfam family "Bacterial small subunit ribosomal RNA", at positions 524 to 776 of the family's 1533-position model. The record is from RNAcentral.
UACAGAGGUCUCAAGCGUUGUUCGGAUUCAUUGGGCGUAAAGGGUGCGUAGGUGGCGUCGUAAGUCAGGCGUGAAAUUUCGGAGCUUAACUCCGAAACUGCAUUUGAUACUGCGGUGCUUGAGGACUGGAGAGGAGACUGGAAUUUACGGUGUAGCAGUGAAAUGCGUAGAUAUCGUAAGGAAGACCAGUGGCGAAGGCGGGUCUCUGGACAGUUCCUGACACUGAGACACGAAGGCCAGGGGAGCAAACGGG